RNAcentral lists this ribosomal RNA (573 nucleotides) under Triticum aestivum (bread wheat). RNAcentral's name for it is "partial small subunit ribosomal RNA". The record is from RNAcentral. Lineage: Eukaryota; Viridiplantae; Streptophyta; Magnoliopsida; Poales; Poaceae.
AUGCCCAUGUCGUUGCUCCCGCCGGACACGAGAUCGGUUGGCUGCCGGGUAGUGUACCUGUGCCGGGACCCCAAGGACGCCCUCGUGUCAAGGCUACACUUCGAGAACAAGGCGUUUAAGGGCACCAACCUGUCCAUGGACAGUGCUUUCAGCAUGUUCUGCGAGGGGUUCUCGCCCUAUGGCCCCUUCUGGGAUCACUGCCUCGAGUACUGGAGCGAGAGCAUGGCAAGGCCGGACAAUGUUCUUUUCCUGAAGUAUGAAGGGAUCAAGUCUGAUCCUGUGCCCGUCGUGAGGAAGCUGGCGAAAUUCCUCGGCGUCCCGCUGACCACGGAGGAGGAGAACUCCAGUGUUGCUCAGGAGGUGGUGCGACUGUGCAGCUUCGAGAUGCUUACCAGCCUGCAGGUGAAUCAGGCUGGCGGCGUUCGUCAUGGAGAUAACGUUCACAUCAAUAAUUCUGUGUUUUACAGAAAAGGAGAAGUGGGGGACUGGGCAAACCACAUGAGCCACGAGAUGGGGGAGGAGUUGGACCGCAUCGUCCAACACAAGCUUGAAGGAUCUGGGCUUGUGUUUUGA